UUCAGAGGUCCCGAGCGUUGUUCGGAUUUACUGGGCGUAAAGGGAGCGUAGGCGGUUCGGUAUGUCGAAUGUGAAAGCCCACAACUCAACUGUGGAAAUGCAUUCGAAACUGCCGGGCUAGAGUACUGGAGAGGAGAGCGGAAUUCUUGGUGUAGCGGUGAAAUGCGUAGAUAUCAAGAGGAACACCGGUGGCGAAGGCGGCUCUCUGGACAGAUACUGACGCUGAGGCUCUAAAGUUAGGGGAGCAAACAGGAUUAGAUACCCU
Molecule: ribosomal RNA, 265 nt
Filed under: uncultured prokaryote
Description: partial 16S ribosomal RNA
Rfam family: Bacterial small subunit ribosomal RNA
Source: RNAcentral